GUUGAGCGUGCGAUUGGAAAAGCACGUCUAAGUAAGUAGACAGAGGAGAUAGGCAAAUCCGUUUCCUCACUUAAUGUCGAGAUACGAUGGGGAUCGAAAAAUAAGUAGAGAAGCAACUGACUCCACACUGCCAAGAAAAGCCACUAUCGAGUAAAUAACUACCCGUACCGCAAACCGACACAGGUAGGCGAGGAGAGAAUCCUAAGAUGAGCGGAAGAACUAUUGUUAAGGAACUCGGCAAAAUGACCCCGUAACUUCGGGAGAAGGGGAGCCAGAGAAGGAUAGAUUGAACAAUCGAAAGAACAUCUGGCCGCAGUGAAUAGGCCCAAGCGACUGUUUACCAAAAACACAAGUCUCUGCUAAGUCGAAAGACGAAGUAUAGGGGCUGACACCUGCCCGGUGCUGGAAGGUUAAGGGGAAGGCUUAGCGCAAGCGAAGGCUAGAACUUAAGCCCCAGUAAACGGCGGCCGUAACUAUAACGGUCCUAAGGUAGCGAAAUUCCUUGUCGGGUAAGUUCCGACCCGCACGAAAGGUGUAACGAUUUGGGCACUGUCUCAACAAUGGAUCCGGUGAAAUUGUAGUACACGUGAAGAUGCGUGUUACCCGCGACAGGACGGAAAGACCCCGUGGAGCUUUACUGCAGGCUGACAUUGGAUUUCGGCAUUGCAUGUACAGGAUAGGUGGGAGACUAAGAAGCCAGUGCGCCAGUAUUGGUGGAGUCAACCUUGGGAUACCACUCUUGUAAUGCUGAAGUUCUAACCUGAUACCAUGAAACUGGUAUAGGGACACUGUCAGUUGGGCAGUUUGACUGGGGCGGUCGCCUCCUAAAGAGUAACGGAGGCGCUCAAAGGUUUCCUCAGCACGGUCGGAAAUCGUGCGAAGAGUGUAAAGGCAAAAGGAAGCUUAACUGCGACACCAACAAGUGGAGCAGGAACGAAAGUUGGACUUAGUGAUCCGGUGGUUCCGAGUGGAAGGGCCAUCGCUCAACGGAUAAAAGCUACCCCGGGGAUAACAGGCUUAUCUCCCCCAAGAGUCCACAUCGACGGGGAGGUUUGGCACCUCGAUGUCGGCUCGUCUCAUCCUGGGGCUGAAGUAGGUCCCAAGGGUUGGGCUGUUCGCCCAUUAAAGAGGCACGCGAGCUGGGUUCAGAACGUCGUGAGACAGUUCGGUCCCUAUCCGUCGUGGGCGUAGGAAAUUUGAGAGGAGCUGUCCUUAGUACGAGAGGACCGGGAUGGACGAACCGCUGGUGUAUCAGUUGUCUUGCCAAAGGCAUGGCUGAGUAGCUAAGUUCGGACGGGAUAAGUGCUGAAGGCAUCUAAGCACGAAGCCCCCCUCAAGAUAAGAUUUCCCAUCACAUAAGUGAGUAAGACUCCAGGAAGACCACCUGGUAGAUAGGUCUCAGGUGAAAGAGUAGUAAUACUUGAAGCUAAGAGAUACUAAUAAGUCGAGGACUUGACCAA
This 1460-nucleotide ribosomal RNA is filed under the name Tissierella sp. RNAcentral describes it as "partial 23S ribosomal RNA". It matches the Rfam family "Bacterial large subunit ribosomal RNA", at positions 1486 to 2925 of the family's 2925-position model. Lineage: Bacteria; Bacillati; Bacillota; Tissierellia; Tissierellales; Tissierellaceae. The record is from RNAcentral.